GGUCGAUGACUGUUCAGGAAAAGCCGUGGCCUAGAUCAAUGGCUCACAUUACACUUGGUGAAUUCGUUGAUCUACCAUCUCCUCAAACGGGAGAGUGGAUGUCAUAAUUUGUGA
This 114-nucleotide ribosomal RNA is filed under the name Triticum aestivum (bread wheat). Its description in RNAcentral is "partial small subunit ribosomal RNA". The record is from RNAcentral. Lineage: Eukaryota; Viridiplantae; Streptophyta; Magnoliopsida; Poales; Poaceae.